Molecule: long non-coding RNA, 357 nt
Filed under: Solanum tuberosum (potato)
Lineage: Eukaryota; Viridiplantae; Streptophyta; Magnoliopsida; Solanales; Solanaceae
Description: long non-coding RNA (STUB_LNC007275)
Source: RNAcentral
UUUUUUUUGGAAUAUAUAUUAAGGGUGUUAAGUCCCAAAAAGCCACUCACAGGCUUAAAAAACGUAUACAAAUCAACAAGAUUGAUCUUAAUGUAAUCAUGGAAUCCCAUGUAAACAUGAAAAAUAUCAACAAUUACAUAAAAUUCUUGGGAUAUCAACACUGCAUGCAUCUCCAAUACAAAUAGCCAAAUUUAGCUCUUUUGGAAUGGGAAUCACCAAGACAAUGAUUGUUGCUAACACCGACCAGCAAAUUACCAUUAAAAUGUUUUACAGUCCCUCCAAUUGUGACUUGUAUGUUACAGAUAUUUAUGCAAAAUGCACCUCAGGUGAAAGACAUGAGUUCUAGGUAGAUCUUAA